UGAGGAAUAUUGGUCAAUGGGCGAGAGCCUGAACCAGCCAAGUCGCGUGAAGGAAGACAGUCCUAAGGAUUGUAAACUUCUUUUAUACGGGAAUAACGGGCGAUACGAGUAUUGCAUUGAAUGUACCGUAAGAAUAAGCAUCGGCUAACUCCGUGCCAGCAGCCGCGGUAAUACGGAGGAUGCGAGCGUUAUCCGGAUUUAUUGGGUUUAAAGGGUGCGUAGGUUGUUCGGUAAGUCAGCGGUGAAACCUGAGCGCUCAACGUUCAGCCUGCCGUUGAAACUGCCGGGCUUGAGUUCAGUGGCGGCAGGCGGAAUUCGUGGUGUAGCGGUGAAAUGCAUAGAUAUCACGAGGAACUCCGAUUGCGAAGGCAGCUUGCCAUACUGCGACUGACACUGAAGCACGAAGGCGUGGGUAUCAAACAGGAUUAGAUACCCUGGUAGUCCACGCAGUAAACGAUGAUUACUAGGAGUUUGCGAUAUACCGUCAAGCUUCCACAGCGAAAGCGUUAAGUAAUCCACCUGGGGAGUACGCCGGCNCGGU
This 541-nucleotide ribosomal RNA is filed under the name uncultured bacterium. Its description in RNAcentral is "bacterial SSU rRNA". It matches the Rfam family "Bacterial small subunit ribosomal RNA", at positions 355 to 895 of the family's 1533-position model. The record is from RNAcentral.